UACGUAGGGUGCGAGCGUUAAUCGGAAUUACUGGGCGUAAAGCGUGCGCAGGCGGCUUUGCAAGACAGAUGUGAAAUCCCCGGGCUCAACCUGGGAACUGCACUUGUGACUGCAAGGCUAGAGUACGGCAGAGGGGGAUGGAAUUCCGCGUGUAGCAGUGAAAUGCGUAGAUAUGCGGAGGAACACCAAUGGCGAAGGCAAUCCCCUGGGCCUGUACUGACGCUCAUGCACGAAAGCGUGGGGAGCAAACAGG
This 253-nucleotide ribosomal RNA is filed under the name uncultured bacterium. RNAcentral describes it as "partial 16S ribosomal RNA". It matches the Rfam family "Bacterial small subunit ribosomal RNA", at positions 524 to 776 of the family's 1533-position model. The record is from RNAcentral.